GUCCGGCAUGGCGUGCGUGGUGGGGGCGGCGCACGCGUCGGUGGCGUGACGAACCGUCUGCAACGGGUUCGUGCUGUAGUUGAGGUCCACGGCAAGGCCCCA
Molecule: transfer RNA, 102 nt
Filed under: uncultured Acidimicrobiales bacterium
Lineage: Bacteria; Bacillati; Actinomycetota; Acidimicrobiia; Acidimicrobiales
Also listed under: 1 other name
Description: tRNA-Pro
Source: RNAcentral